AGUCACUUGGAGUCUGCUGGCUGUGCUGUGAAGAGGAAGGGGCCAGGAGGUUGUGUGAGGGGCAGAAAGAGUCAGUCAUCGUACAAGGGAUAGGCGAUUGUGUGAGGAACAGGAAGCAGUGAGCUGAAACUGCAGAAGAAAAAAGAGCCAGAGCUGUGUGGGGUUGUUCAUAUGAUUGCAACUUAACAAAGCUGCAAUUUCUGUUCCUGUGAGGUUUUCAAACAGACAAAGUGUGAGACCCUCAUGAAGAAGCCAUCUAUAGCUAUCAUCAUCCCCAUUCCUCAGGUCACCUGCCACAGACAUGCCUUCUCCUUGCAUCUGCAGCUCCAGUUGCACGUGGCUCACACUGAAGAUGUACCUUGUCGUGGGGGCACCCAGCUGAGAUACUUCACUGAGCCCUUCCCAAAGUGAGCACAGAUCAUGCCAGCUAUCUCCGCCUUCCUUCACUUGUUUCUGUAGUCAUGUGACACUGUGUUACAUGUUCCUGUCUGCUCUGCUGCUGUGCUGUGUGCUUUGAGAAAAAGCAGUGGCUGUGUAAAUACUCAGAAGGGCUGAAGAGCAGCCAAAUGGACCUGCUACAGCAAGCAAACAAGGGGGAAAGAUAAUCUCUACAAAGUCUUCUGGCUGCCAUUAUUCUGGGUGGGGCUUAUAAUGGUGUCCAUUGUUUAUUUUUAUUUCCUUAUUUUCUUGCUUCUUUUAUUAUUUAUUUUCUCAUCUCCUCCCGUGUACCCUCCUUAUACACACAACCUGGUGGCUCACUGCUGUUGUAGCAAAAUUCUGUUUAUUUCAGGAGCUGUAGGGAAAGAGGAGAUACGCUUUUUGGGGACAGGCAGAGCAACAGUUCCCUUUGGUGAGCUGACUGCCUUGGAGAUCCUGGCCUCAGUGGUCCACUGCAGUAAGGAUUUUACAAAAAGGAAAAACUCAGGCAAAUUAUCCAUACCUGUGUGGCUGAGAGGAAACUCAGGAAGAGGUUAUGCCAUUAGUCUCCAAUACUUAGUCACAAAAGGUCUAAAAUUACAGUGGACAAGUCUAAAAAUGAUGGGAAAAGUUAAUGUGUUUUAAUGUUCUGUGUGAUGAAUGCAUAUUAAAUGACUGUUAGACAA
Long non-coding RNA from Hirundo rustica (Barn swallow), 1103 nucleotides. RefSeq lists it as uncharacterized. Lineage: Eukaryota; Metazoa; Chordata; Aves; Passeriformes; Hirundinidae. The transcript has 2 exons. The record is from RefSeq and is a predicted model, not a curated record.